This 97-nucleotide small nucleolar RNA is filed under the name Naumovozyma dairenensis CBS 421. Lineage: Eukaryota; Fungi; Ascomycota; Saccharomycetes; Saccharomycetales; Saccharomycetaceae. The record is from RNAcentral.
UUAAUUGAUGAAUAGGCAACCACAAUCGUCUUUUAACUAUCCGGCGAUGAUUCUUCGAAUAUGUGCCAUGGAUAACUUCAUGCAUCACCAUCUGAUU